GUGCUGUCCCGACGAGGAAGACCCUGUUCUGUGUGUGCUGCCCUGGGGGCUUUGUCCUGCACAGGCCUGGAUUUCAGGGAAACCCCCCAGCAGCCGUUCCGACCAAGGGCACAGAGAGCCGACAUCAGCCACAGACUGGACUUCCGGGAAGCCUGUGGGGAGCUCUCUGUGUUGGGAAGCCACAAAGGGCCUGGUCAGAGCCGGGUUUGUUUAUUUUACUAUUUACUUACUUAUUUAUUUUGGGGUAGGGUUUCACUACGCAGCCCAGGCUGACCUCCCACUUGCAGCGCCGGGAUCGCAGGUGUGCACCACGAGGCCCAGUCAGAGCCCGGUUCCGGAAGUGAGCAUCCUACUGUGAGCAGCCUAACUACAGGAAGGUCACCCAUACUCUGGCUGCACCCUGCAUGCCUAAGAUCUGGAUCUCUUCCAUAACAGAUGCAAAGUCAUACUUCCUCCUGCUCCUGUCGUCACAAUGCCAAAUUAGAAAUUACAGUUGUUUCCAGGGCUUGGAGCUCAGGGGUAGAGUGCUUGCCUGUCAUGGACAAAGCCCUGGGUUCCAUCCUCAGCAUGGCAAGAUAACACCAACGUUUUAUGGUAUGUAAUAUGCAAUCUUGCAGUGUUAGAGUGCAUGCGUGUGUGCGUGUGUGUGUGUGUGUGUGUGUGUGUGUGUGUGUGUGUGAAAGUCUCUUAUUUGCAUUUGGCCAAACUCCAAUGAAUACUUUUUGUUUUUUGAGUCAGGGUCUCACAAUGUAGUUCUGGCUGGCCUCAAUGUCACAGUGCUAGGAUUAUAGAGGCGAGUCCUCAGGUCCGGCCCUAACCAAUACUGUACUUUUGAAAACAAGAUUUCAUUUGAUUUUAUUUUUUUGGUACCAGGGAUUGAACUUGGGUCCUUAGGCUUGCGAGGCAGAUGGCGGAACUACUGAGCUAAAUCCCUGAGCUUGAAAAUGAGAUUCUAAUCAGAAUGGCCCAGGGUAGAUUUCGGAGGAG
This 987-nucleotide long non-coding RNA is filed under the name Fukomys damarensis (Damara mole-rat). Its description in RNAcentral is "lncRNA (ENSFDAG00000025836.1)". Lineage: Eukaryota; Metazoa; Chordata; Mammalia; Rodentia; Bathyergidae. The record is from RNAcentral.